UUAGCACUUUCACAGGUCCUCCCCUAGACAGUGGGGCCGGGAUUUGGUAGCUGGUGCUGAAAGAAAACCUUGAUUGCAUUCUUGCCCAGGUAUUAUACCAGUGGCAGCUGUCACUCAGUGGGACAGAC
This 128-nucleotide small nucleolar RNA is filed under the name Fukomys damarensis (Damara mole-rat). RNAcentral's name for it is "Small nucleolar RNA SNORA30/SNORA37 family (ENSFDAG00000004814.1)". It matches the Rfam family "Small nucleolar RNA SNORA30/SNORA37 family". Rfam says of the family: The members of this family belong to the H/ACA class of snoRNAs that guide the sites of modification of uridines to pseudouridines. This family includes human ACA30 (SNORA30), ACA37 (SNORA37) and the mouse homolog MBI-26. The record is from Rfam by way of RNAcentral. Lineage: Eukaryota; Metazoa; Chordata; Mammalia; Rodentia; Bathyergidae.